Molecule: long non-coding RNA, 2364 nt
Filed under: Homo sapiens (human)
Lineage: Eukaryota; Metazoa; Chordata; Mammalia; Primates; Hominidae
Description: HSALNT0276267
Source: RNAcentral
UCCGAUGGCUUCCCCAUGGCCCUCCGGAUGAAGCAGACUCUUCUCAAUGACUGGAGAGUCCUCUAUUCUACCCCUCUGUCCUCCUUGGAGAUCCAUGCUCCAGGGAUCUGUUUUCUUUUGGAAACAAAACGAAUCGCCUCUCCCAUUUUGGUUUGCCAUUUCAAGAUGGUGGGAGUCAUCUAUCCAGCAAGUUUUCCAAGCAAGGAAAAAGAAGACCAGGACCUCACCAAGAACAUGCAGAAAACUCCACCUGAUGGUCUCAGAUCAGAACCAAUGUGAAGAUGUGGACACUCUCUCUUGGAAUCCAGCUCCCAUGGUGGGAGAAGGCCAAGUCACAUGAGGGAAAACUUACAUGCUCGGGUGACAAGCAGCUCAAGCUACCAGACAUGCAGUUGAACCCCUUGGAGGCUCAGAGAUGAUUUGGCUCUUUUCAACACCAUGCUGAGCAGAAGAAUCUCCAAGCUGCACUCAGUCAAACCACAGAAUCAUACACUAUGGGGGAGCAACAGAGAAAAUCUUUCAAAGCACCCAGCCAUGUUUAAGACGGCAAGUCUGCAGAUGAGUUGGAGGUUUUAGACACAGCCAAAGGGUCAAAGGCUGGGAAUCCUGUGGAUGUUUUAGUAAGUGCAGAGCAUCAGCCUCCCUCCCAUUGCAAUUGAAGAGAAAUUGCACCAGGAGCAGUGGGCUUGGUGGAAUGAAAUUUUCCCCACCCAAAUCUCAUCUUGAAUUGUAAGGCAAAUUGUAAUCCCCACGUGUUGGGAGAGGGAUCUCGUGGGAGGUGAUUAGAUCAUGGGGGUGGUUCCCCCAUGCUGUUCUCGUGAUAGUGAGUGAGUUCUCACAAGGCCUGAGAAGGGGCUUUUCCCCCUUCACUUGGCACUUCUCUCUCCUGCCACCAUGUGAAGAAGGACAUGUUUGCUUCCCCUUCUGCCUUCAUUGUAGGUUUUCUGAGGUCUUCCCAGCCAUGCAGAACUGUGAGUCAAUUACCUCUUUCCUUUAUAAUUUAACCAGUCUCAGGUAGUUCUUCAUAGCAGCAUGAAAACAAACUAAUACACAAAUUGUCCCUAACCUUAGCGGAGAGGCUAGAAGAGGUGACCCUAUCUUAAGCUGGGAGGUGUGAGGUAGAAUUAACUCCUUCAAGUCCUAUCUGUGAGGACCUCCUAAAUGAUUCCUCUUUUGUCUUUAAUGCUCCCAUUUUCACAUCAUAGACAGCAUUAUCCAACCCAAAAAUCCCCUCCCGUGCUCCUAAGCACAGCUGAGAAUAAACUCCCAACACCUCUCAGCAAGUCCUCCCUGCCCUAUAGGAUCUGGGCCUGGCCACUGACAAUGAUUCUCUGCUUGAUCAAACUUUAAUCAGGCUCCUGAACCUUCUUCUAGGCCAAUUGUGCACUUCUUUAUGGAAUCCAGUUUUAGCAAAGAAUCCUGCUAGUCACUUUAGCAAGAACCCUAUGCUCUGGAUAUCUGAUAACCUUCCAUAUCUGAUCAGGUCCCUCAUCCUCCACCAUCUCCAGGUGAUGUCUGAUCAUGCUGGUGUGCCUUCAGCAAGAAUCCUGUUAGGUGGAUUUAGGAGAAUCUCCCUUACCCCUGAUGUUUCCUUUCAGUAGUUUUCCAUCCACUAACCUCCCCACCCCUACUCUGCACCUUGGCUAUAAAUUCCAACUUUCCCAUUUAUAUUUGGAGUUAGCCCAAUCUCCCCCACUGCAAAAUCCCAUUGCAGUGGUCCCCAUCAAUGUGGUGGUCCUGAAUAAAGUUUGCUUUAUUAUGCUCUAACAAGUAUAACAACUGAAUCAUUGCUUUUCUUUAAUACUUUCUCUUAACUUCAUUUGCCCACUUCCUUCUCUGUUCAGGAUAUUCUGGCCAUGCUGGCUUCUUGUCAGUUGUUCAAAUGCCCCAAACUCUAAGGACUUAUCUCUGGCCAAGCCCAGAGUUGAAUCCUGAGUGUCCACAGGUCCCUGGCUCAGCCGUUCCCCUGCAAGUGUAGGAGCGGAAAGGAGGGCUGAUGGUAGCAAUAAUUCAUGUCAGGGAGGCUGUCCCCGGUGUGCGGCAAACCUGUGCUUGGUUCAUGGGCAGCCAGGGUGUGAUCGAUCACACACUUCACAGGGCACAUUUAUUUGGCUUAUUAAAAGAGUUAACUAGAUUUUCAGGGAAUAGAGGAGGCAGGAGAACAGGGCUACCUCUGGGGAGGGAAUAUGGUGGGCUAAGAGUAGAUUCCCACCCCUAUUCGUACUACAGAGAGGUGGCAAAUUCUUUUAAAGUCACAUAGACACAGAUAUGCAUGCAGGAUCUUACUAGCUGUGUGAUCUUGAGAGAACUGCUUAACCUCUCCAAGCCUCAGUGGUUCCUGCUGUAAAAUGGAAGUAUCAGGCC